RNAcentral lists this ribosomal RNA (613 nucleotides) under uncultured bacterium. RNAcentral describes it as "bacterial SSU rRNA". The stretch from base 1 to 521 matches the Rfam family "Bacterial small subunit ribosomal RNA", at positions 338 to 873 of the family's 1533-position model. The record is from RNAcentral.
CCUACGGGAGGCAGCAGUGGGGAAUAUUGGGCAAUGGAGGAAACUCUGACCCAGCGACGCCGCGUGCGGGAUGAAGGCCUUCGGGUUGUAAACCGCUUUCAGUAGGGAAGAAGCGAAAGUGACGGUACCUACAGAAGAAGCACCGGCUAACUAUGUGCCAGCAGCCGCGGUAAUACAUAGGGUGCAAGCGUUGUCCGGAAUUAUUGGGCGUAAAGAGCUCGUAGGUGGUUCGUCACGUCGGAUGUGAAAAUCUGGGGCUCAACCCCAGACCUGCAUUCGAUACGGGCGAUCUAGAGUGUGGUAGGGGAGACUGGAAUUCCUGGUGUAGCGGUGGAAUGCGCAGAUAUCAGGAGGAACACCAAUGGCGAAGGCAGGUCUCUGGGCCAUUACUGACACUGAGGAGCGAAAGCGUGGGGAGCGAACAGGAUUAGAUACCCUGGUAGUCCACGCCGUAAACGGUGGGCACUAGUUGUGGGAACCUUCCACGGUUUCUGCGACGCAGCUACGCAUAAGUGCCCGCCGUCGGGAGGUACGAGUCGCGAAGAAUUAAAACGUUAAAAGGUAAGUUAGACGGCGUGAGACGUGCCGACGGACGACCGACGAGGGAGGUAGG